UUUAUUUCCUCAUUUCCGUCUUUAUCCUUCACAGAAUCACAGCUACCACCAACAGAGCAAGGGGGCGAGUGAAAAUGCCGGCGGGUCAUGGUCUUCGUUCUCGAACUCGCGAUUUGUUCUCUAGGCCCUUCAGGAAGAAGGGUUACAUUCCUUUGACAACCUAUCUCAGGACCUAUAAGAUUGGUGAUUAUGUCGAUAUCAAGGUGAACGGCGCCGUCCACAAGGGUAUGCCUCACAAGUUCUAUCAUGGUCGCACCGGUCGUGUCUGGAACGUUACCAAGCGUGCUGUUGGCGUUGAGGUCAACAAGCAGGUAUAAAUAUGGAGUUUUUUUUUUUCUCCCUUUCUGAUUUGGUAUUUAGGUUUAUUUGGGUACCUCAAAUCAAUGAAAGAUUGGGUUAUUUAGUUUCUUUGGUACUGAUAUGCAACUUAUGCUCAUGAACUGGGUUUUUCUUUGAGCUGAUUUUUCUAGUUUUUAAUUGUAAUUUUGAUUGUUGUGUGUUUAGUCAUUAGGUUUUCGAUUUAUUAUAUAUUUCUGGCCCUGUAAUUAUGUAAUGGUUCAAGAUGUGUAUAUAUUUUCAAUCCUUUUCUGAGGGGAGAUAAUAGUUAAAUUUGUGGGAAUCUAAUGAUUUUGAUUAUGUUGCUGAUGAUACUACUUGUGAUUAGGUGUGCUCGAAUGUUUGUGUUUGUAGCUGUUUGGAUCUUGGAUUUGGACGUUCACUUUGAUUUACUUCAUUUUGUUUGGUAUUAUGCAGUUGCAUGAUUUCAGCUUGAGAUGAUAUUAUAUGAGGUGAAAGGGGGCUGUUGAACCCUUGACUUCUUGCUCUAUAGAGCGUGUGCUCGACCAGUGGGAUAUUACUAAGGGUUUUCUGAUUAUUCCGCCACUGAUUCAAGUUUUCAGAUUUUAUUAUGGGUUUUGUUGUCUUGUUUCAUGUGUCAUAUCUAAUGCUAGUUUAACAGAUAUAGACUUUGCAAUUUUGCCUUGGUGUUCUUAUGUUUGGUUUAUAGUUUUCAAUUCGAUUGCUGAUUUUCGUGGAUGAUUAUUUACCAUCUGAAUGACAGGAUUGAUUGACAUUAGAGAGAAAUCAAAUAAACAGACUUAUGUUUUGAGUUGUUAUAACUGAAUCAUUGUUUAACCUUCGUUGUGUAUUCUGUUUGACACUGACACGCAUAUUUGCUGCUCUUUGCUUGUGUGUAUGCUUUGUUGUCAGCUGUGAAUAAUAAUUAUGGAUGUUAUUUGCCUAUAAUAGGUGGGUGGCAGAAUCAUAAAAAAGAGGAUCCAUGUUCGGGUGGAGCAUUUGCAGCCUUCAAGGUGCACAGAGGAAUUCCGUCUAAGGAAGAAGAAGAAUGAUGAAUUGAAGGCCCAGGCAAAGGCAAGAGGUGAGGUCAUUAGCACAAAGAGGCAGCCAGAAGGCCCUAAACCUGGUUUCAUGGUUGAGGGUGCACAGUUGGAAACUGUUACGCCCAUCCCGUAUGAUGUUGUUAACGAUCUCAAGGGUGGUUACUAGGUCUACAAUUUCUAGGUUUUUUUCAUGCUGUUUGGUUUGUGUUGCCAACUUUUGUUGACUGGAUUAGUUUAUUCAUAUGAGCCUCAACUACUGUCAGUUUUGAAGAGGUAUUUGGAGAUUUAUGCAUAUGCAAAGAUGCAUGGUUUAUUUCAUUUCCUCUUUAGAUAUAAUGGGAGUUUUUCUAUUCAAAUUUGCAUAUUUCCUUUUGAAAGAUUUCUUAUAGUUCACAUUCCAUUAACAGUUUUUAAAUCAAAUGUCAUUCUUUAAUUAUAGUCACUCUAGAUUUUUGCGUAACAUGGGUGGCUUUCGAGUAGAGGUAAGUUUUUAAGAUUUUGAAAUUUUGAUUCUAAUACUCUGAAAAUAUUGUAUCUGUUUGUUUGUAAUGCUCAUUAGCAGAGUGCAAGGAAGAUAUAACAAUGAGUUUGUGAAAUUACUUGUGCAUCAAACUGUUCAAGGUAAUUCCUUGAUGAAUUUUGAACAUCAUUAUGUCUUUUUUGGUCAUUCUGAAAGAUCAUUAGAAAAUAGUCUAUGGAAUUCCCCUGACAAAAUUGAUUACUUCGAAAAUUAAAGAAAUAAUCUUGCAAGAUUAUUGUAGGCUCUCCUUGUCCUUUUGGACCUUGCAAGAAAGGAAUAGUCUUUAGGCCAACUGGCAACGUCGUACUGUUGGGGUAAAGUGGCCUACAUCCCUAAUGUCUCCUAUUAAACAGAAGCAUUGGCCCAGAGUUUCAUGCUCCCAGCCCAUAGUAGUGUACAGAUUUCUUUUGUAAGCAAACAAGAAUAUGAAUCUACGCUUGUGUGAACAGUUUGAACUGCUUGAUCAAUAUUUUGUUAAUGCUGGUAUGCCAGUGCCAAAGAAAUUUUCUAUGAAUUAUGUGGUCGGUUUAAUGUCCUAAGAAAGUUAAUGAGGAAAGAUCUUGGUGAGCUAGCUAAUCGACACAUAUUUGCAUUGGUGGCACAUUUUCCUCAGUUAUUUUGUUGUUGUCUCAAUGAAGUUGCUUCACCUUCUGCAUGGGAAAAAGAAAUUCCAAAAGAAAGUCAGUACAAAGAAAAGAAUAUAUGCUCAACAGCUGAAGAAAAGGAGCUUAAUUAUGACAAGUACUACAGAAGUGACUUGGGGAUCUAAGAUACAGUUUAUUCCCUUGUUGAAAAUAUUCACUUGUGUAAUUUAUUUGUACUGGGAAUCUCUUUAUUUAUGAAAAGAAAGCUCAGUUGGGCCUUAUAAGCAAAGAGGAGAAACUAACUUUUGGAGGACUCUGCUCCAACCAAGAGGAAGAAGCUGAGUCUGUUUAGGUCACCAAGUUGAGGUUGAAGAUGAGGCUAUUCUAUGUUCUCUUGUCUAUUCUGCUCCUCCUUAUUUCAGGUUCUUCUCUUGGAAUCAGAUAUGCAAUUCUAUAUAUCAAUUACAUAUAUUUUUUCUUUGCUUUUUUAGCUCUCUCUCCUCCCCAAAUACACACAUACAUUGCUGAAGCAAAAUAUAUCUUUGGUUUCUAAAGAAUGUCAUUUAGCUGUGCAUUAGUUGUUUUUUCUCAGAUAUUUAAUCUCAUUUGGACAAUAAAUUUUAAUUUAGCUUUUGGGUAAGAUCAAUUUUAUCCUGACAAAAGAAUUUCUUGGAAACAGCUGAGUUCACCCAAUCUCUAGCAGUUCGCAGGGCUCAUGCAGUGAGGAUACCAGAACACACAUGCCAUAAAACGCUAAACAUCAACACUUGUAACUUGCAGAAAUGCAAUGAAGAAUGUGCCAAAGAACCACUAGGUGUGGGAGAUUGCAGAAAUACCUUAUGUUUUUGCACAUACUAUUGCAAACAACCUCCAUUCUAACACAAUCCCAUUUGGCUUUGGCCGAGUCUAUCUUCUUCUGGGGAUUAUGUCCAAUGACUGCCCAUUUGGGUAAUGAGAUCACAGCUUUUGUAUAACCCUAAUAUAUUUUGGUAGAAAGUCAUUUAAAUAUUUUAAUUUUACUCUUUUGCCAUCCAAUUUCUCUUUUUGGGAAUAUAUAAUAGGGUGGUAAAUUAUGGGGUCAGUUUAUAUUCCAG
RNAcentral lists this unclassified non-coding RNA (3538 nucleotides) under Hevea brasiliensis (rubber tree). Lineage: Eukaryota; Viridiplantae; Streptophyta; Magnoliopsida; Malpighiales; Euphorbiaceae. The record is from RNAcentral.